GGACCUACUCGGGAGACGCCGCUGGCUCUCUAGGAACACCUGGGGACCGUGGCCAGGGACGACCCAGCCUCCUUCUCCUCAGCUCCUCAGGAACGACUGGGGAAGCUGUGGCUUCAUGGUCCCCGAGGCUGCCCGAGGAAAGACAGAGUCUCAACCAGGCUGGAGUGCAGUGGCGUGAUCUCGGCUCACUGCAACCUCCGCCUCCCAGGUUCAAGCGAUUCUCCUGCCUCAGCCUCCUGAGUAGCUGGUAUUACAGGUAUUUCAGGACAGCCAGGAGGGGGCGCACAUCCGCCGCGAAACUGUGAGCAAGAGCGUCUGUGCUGAACCAUGGCGCCACCAGAGGGCGCGCGAUCCCGCCCCAACCAACUUCCCGCUGAAGUGCCAGAAGCAGCGAGGAGCUUCAACUUCCUCAGGGCAGCACGGGGGUCGUGUUAAUUUGGUGUUCUUCAUUGAUGAUGAUUAUUCCCCACCUUCUAAGAGACAAAGACCAACGAGCCACCACAGCCACCAGUCCCAGAACCUGCCAAUGCUGGGGAACGGAAAAUGAGGGAGUUCAACUCUGGCCCUCACAAUCCAGUGGAGGAGACGAAACUCAUCUGCCUCUGUCCCUCUGGGCACGCCUCAUGCCAGGUGCAUCUGUGGACAGGGGCCAUGCUCCUGGGCUUCCAAAGUUGGAGAAAGCUGCCAGGCUCAGGUCUGAAGGCCAGAAUUCUACAGUAAGUCCUACUGAGUCAAGGUGGGAGCAGGGUCGGUAGCUUCCGAGGCUCUGCGGGAGAAUCCGUUUCCUGGCCGUAGAGGUGGCCUGCACUCCGCAGCUUGUGCUGCCCGUCUCGAAUGACUGGAGUUUCCUGCUUCUGUCACUACACCUCCCACCCUCUCCAUCACCUGCUCUGCUCUUACAAGGAUCCGAAGAAAUGGAAUCAUCGUAUCGCUGAUCUACGUAAACAAACUGAAGAAUUGUCUGAAAGAAAAUAUGGUAUGUCUAAACUGGAAAAGUCUUGUAAUCUUAGGUUCAUGGGCGUUUACACAGUGGAGUUACUGUUCAUCAUGGGGGUACCGUGGACAAUCCCAGGGCUGCCGGCGAGUCAUGCCAUCCUUAUAUGUUUCUCCUUGUAAGGUGCUUUGUAGUGUCUACACACUUUGUUUCUAGAUUGCUGCAAAGCUGAGGAAAAGUUGUAUUUCUUUAGUUAUUAGUUAGCAUUUCUUUUAAACUUUCAGUAUGGAGAUUGGAAAUUUAUUUACAUAUUUAUUGCAAAGCCCUGGAUCUUAGGAAUUUCAUUGAAUUAUUUAUUUAUUUUUUUUGAGACGGAGCCUCACUCUGUCGCCCAGGCUGGAGUGCAGUGGCACGAUCUCGGCUCACUGCAACCUCCGCCUCCCGGGUUCAAGCAGUUCUCUGCCUCAGCCUCCCGAGCAGCUAGGAUUACAGGCACCAGCCACCACGCCUGGCUGAUUUUUGUAUUUUUAGUAGAGACGGGGUUUCAUGAUCUUGGCU
Homo sapiens (human) is the source of this 1492-nucleotide long non-coding RNA. Ensembl annotates it as family with sequence similarity 157 member C. Its record names the gene FAM157C. NCBI's taxonomy places the organism in Eukaryota, Metazoa, Chordata, Mammalia, Primates, Hominidae. The record is from Ensembl.